UGCCUUCUAUUUGACAG
RNAcentral lists this unclassified non-coding RNA (17 nucleotides) under Mus musculus (house mouse). RNAcentral describes it as "oocyte_clustered_small_RNA5323". Lineage: Eukaryota; Metazoa; Chordata; Mammalia; Rodentia; Muridae. The record is from RNAcentral.